AACACAUGCCUGCUAACGAGGUUAAGGCACAGCUCAAUUGACCGUGCCGUAGAGGUCGCAUUGUAAUUUGUACGAGGAUGCUUUGGGUGAAACGCCAGUCUAGAGAUUCCUUGGAACAGGACGUCAUAGAGGGUGAGAAUCCCGUAUGUGACUGGAAAUGUUAACCUAUGUAAAGCUCCUUCGACGAGUCGAGUUGUUUGGGAAUGCAGCUCUAAAUGGGAGGUAAAUUUCUUCUAAAGCUAAAUAUUGGCGAGAGACCGAUAGCGCACAAGUAGAGUGAUCGACAAGAUGAAAAGCACUUUGGAAAGAGAGUUAAAAGCACGUGAAAUUGUUGAAAGGGAAGCGCUUGCAAUCAGACUUGUUUAAACUGUUCGGCCGGUCUUCUGACCGGUUUAACUCAGUUUUGUGACAGUGCCAGCAUCAGUUA
This 427-nucleotide ribosomal RNA is filed under the name Aureobasidium pullulans. RNAcentral's name for it is "eukaryotic LSU rRNA". It matches the Rfam family "Eukaryotic large subunit ribosomal RNA", at positions 1 to 514 of the family's 3401-position model. The record is from RNAcentral. Lineage: Eukaryota; Fungi; Ascomycota; Dothideomycetes; Dothideales; Saccotheciaceae.